RNAcentral lists this ribosomal RNA (253 nucleotides) under uncultured bacterium. Its description in RNAcentral is "partial 16S ribosomal RNA". It matches the Rfam family "Bacterial small subunit ribosomal RNA", at positions 524 to 776 of the family's 1533-position model. The record is from RNAcentral.
UACAGAGGGUGCAAGCGUUAAUCGGAAUUACUGGGCGUAAAGGGUGCGUAGGUGGUUUUUUAAGUCGUGUGUGAAAACCCUGGGCUUAACCUAGGAAUUGCAUAUGAAACUGAGAAGCUAGAGUGCAGUAGAGGGAAGUGGAAUUUCCGGUGUAGCGGUGAAAUGCGUAGAUAUCGGAAGGAACACCAGUGGCGAAGGCGACUUCCUGGACUGUUACUGACACUGAGGCACGAAAGCGUGGGGAGCGAACAGG